Molecule: ribosomal RNA, 702 nt
Filed under: uncultured phototrophic eukaryote
Lineage: Eukaryota
Description: bacterial SSU rRNA
Rfam family: Bacterial small subunit ribosomal RNA
Source: RNAcentral
UGCAGUCGUACGAGAGUUUUUAACUCAAGUGGCGGACGGGUGAGUAACACGUAAGAAUUUGCCUUUAGGAGGGGGACAACAACUGGAAACGGUUGCUAAUACCCCAUAUGCUUUCGAGUGAAACGGAUUUUUCCGCCUAGAGAGAAGCUUGCGGCUGAUUAGCUUGUUGGUAAGGUAAUGGCUUACCAAGGCGACGAUCAGUAUCUGGUUUGAGAGGACGAUCAGACACACUGGAACUGAGACACGGUCCAGACUCCUACGGGAGGCAGCAGUGGGGAAUUUUCCGCAAUGGGCGAAAGCCUGACGGAGCAAUACCGCGUGAGGGAUGACGGCCUAUGGGUUGUAAACCUCUUUUUUCAGGGAGGAAUCAAUGACGUGUACCUGAAGAAUAAGCAUCGGCUAACUCCGUGCCAGCAGCCGCGGUAAGACGGAGGAUGCAAGUGUUAUCCGGAAUCACUGGGCGUAAAGCGUCUGUAGGUGGUUUAAUAAGUCAACUGUUAAAUCUUGAGGCUCAACCUCAAAAUCGCAGUCGAAACUAUUAGACUAGAGUAUAGUAGGGGUAAAGGGAAUUUCCAGUGGAGCGGUGAAAUGCGUAGAGAUUGGAAAGAACACCGAUGGCGAAGGCACUUUACUGGGCUAUUACUAACACUGAGAGACGAAAGCUAGGGUAGCAAAUGGGAUUAGAUACCCUGGUAGUCCCCU